Molecule: ribosomal RNA, 253 nt
Filed under: uncultured bacterium
Lineage: Bacteria
Description: partial 16S ribosomal RNA
Rfam family: Bacterial small subunit ribosomal RNA
Source: RNAcentral
UACGAAGGGGGCUAGCGUUGCUCGGAUUGACUGGGCGUAAAGGGCGCGUAGGCGGAUAGUACAGUCAGGCGUGAAAUUCCUGGGCUCAACCUGGGGGCUGCGUUUGAUACGUAUUGUCUGGAGUUCGGAAGAGGGUCGUGGAAUUCCCAGUGUAGAGGUGAAAUUCGUAGAUAUUGGGAAGAACACCGGUGGCGAAGGCGGCGACCUGGACAGAUAUUGACGCUGAGGUGCGAAAGCGUGGGGAGCAAACAGG